Molecule: unclassified non-coding RNA, 19 nt
Filed under: Mus musculus (house mouse)
Lineage: Eukaryota; Metazoa; Chordata; Mammalia; Rodentia; Muridae
Description: oocyte_clustered_small_RNA1236
Source: RNAcentral
AUGCAAUGGUGUCCGAGUU